Molecule: transfer RNA, 85 nt
Filed under: Stenotrophomonas sp. BIO128-Bstrain
Lineage: Bacteria; Pseudomonadati; Pseudomonadota; Gammaproteobacteria; Lysobacterales; Lysobacteraceae
Description: tRNA-Tyr
Rfam family: tRNA
About the family: Transfer RNA (tRNA) molecules are approximately 80 nucleotides in length. Their secondary structure includes four short double-helical elements and three loops (D, anti-codon, and T loops).
Source: RNAcentral
GGGGUGCGUUGCCAGAUGGGCGCUGGGCCGGACUGUAAAUCCGGCGUCUUCGACUCGCGUGGUUCAACUCCGCGGCACCCCACCA